This 494-nucleotide ribosomal RNA is filed under the name uncultured bacterium. Its description in RNAcentral is "partial 16S ribosomal RNA". It matches the Rfam family "Bacterial small subunit ribosomal RNA", at positions 28 to 507 of the family's 1533-position model. The record is from RNAcentral.
GACGAACGCUGGCGGCGUGCUUAACACAUGCAAGUCGAACGGUGAAGCGCCUUCCUUUUUGGUGGGUGUGGAUGAGUGGCGAACGGGUGAGUAACACGUGAGUAACCUGCCCCCUUCUUCUGGAUAACCGCAUGAAAGUGUGGCUAAUACGGGAUAUUCUGGGUCUGUCGCAUGAUGGGUCUGGGAAAGAUAUUGUUUCGGUGGGGGAUGGGCUCGCGGCCUAUCAGCUUGUUGGUGGGGUGAUGGCCUACCAAGGCGGUGACGGGUAGCCGGCCUGAGAGGGUGGACGGUCACACUGGGAGUGAGACACGGCCCAGACUCCUACGAGAGGCAGCAGGGGGGAAUAUUGCACAAUGCGCGCAAGUCUGAUGCAGCGACGGCGCGUGAGGGAUGGAGGCCUUCGGGGUGUGAACCUCUUUCGCCAGUGAAGCAGGCCUGCCUCGUUUGUGGGUGGGUUGACGGUAGCUGGAUAAGAAGCGCCGGCUAACUACGUG